Long non-coding RNA from Oncorhynchus gorbuscha (pink salmon), 1621 nucleotides. RefSeq lists it as uncharacterized. Lineage: Eukaryota; Metazoa; Chordata; Actinopteri; Salmoniformes; Salmonidae. The record is from RefSeq and is a predicted model, not a curated record. The transcript has 3 exons.
UGAACCAGUAGUUGUACAGUAUAAUUUUAAUUGCGCAGGACUAAAAGUGGUUGCUAGAUUUAAGCGGUUUGUUGUCUGCGGGAUGUCCCGGAAUGAAAUUGACCGGAAUGGAAUUUGAUUUAGUCUAUGGAGGUGCGGAACGGGAAAAUGCUGCCCUUUCAUAAUCUCUUAAACGGAGGGGAUUUACUGUCGAGUUUCGACUAAUCCAUUGAAGAGACUGCAUGUCUCGUUUCGCGACAUCGUUUUCUUGUGAUGUUUUGGUCAACAGUUUGUGACAUUGUUGCAGCGCUAACGUUCGAGUCUCCAGCGCGGUCACAGGUAAACUGGCGCCAAGGGUUAAAGAAGAAUAACUGAUCAUAUUCAUCUUCGAACUAUUCACCAUGUUUCUGCAACUGUACAGAGACCGUCGGUUUGUCGUUGUACAGUCAGUCUGAAUGCUAUCAAAUAGCCGAGGGGAGAUGCGGGCUGAUGUGGAGUACAGCCCGGUCGGCGAGGGCCUGGGGAUGAGCGAGUUCUGGCUCCAUGUGUGGAUGCGGAGGGUCGCCGUGAUCGCUGCCCAUGUUAUUGCCUUUGGUCUCACUGUGCUGAUUUCACUACUGUCUGGAACAAGUCUCUUUUCCUGGCAUCCUGUUUGUAUGUCUAGUGCAGAAUCAAACCCACAACCCUGGCUGUGGAAGUGCCAUGCUCUUGCCAACCCACUACCACUCCAGGCACCACCACCACUGGACACAGAUAUACAUACUAGGUAUCUUGAAAGAUUAUAACCUGGCACUCAGUCUUACACAAGUACAUAUACAAUCAACUAACUGGAGACAAAGUUUGUUGUGCUGACACACCUAUAAACACCUGGGUGUGGCCAUUGUAUCCUGAUGACCUUGUAUGGGACCAGCCCUGAGAGGCUUAUGAAAGCGGACCACUACUGGGACAGAGCAGAUGUAACUGAAGUCGUCUCCUUUGCUUCGUCUGUUUCUCUAGAUGCUCUGAGACACUACUGUAUCUGGAUGGUUUAAGGGAAUACAGUACCUACUUUACUGUGUAUCAACCUGAAUGUGUGGUUGUGAGCAGAGCAGCUAUGUGGAUGUGUAUUUUACCAACCAUUUUUUCAGGGGUCGGCAACUAGAUUGAGCCACGGAAUGUUUUUUUGUCAGAGCAAAUUGUCAGGGGGCCGGAACAUAAUUAUGUAAAUUUGCACAUAACAAGUGACCACUAACCACUGAUCCAGCAGUAGAUAUUUUCUCAGCCCCCUGUUAGCAUUAAUAUCAGGUAGGGGAAAUCUAAUCAUAUAUAGAUCUGUGUUUGACGGAUGUCAUAAGGUGAAUGCACCAAUUUGUAAGUCGCUCUGGAUAAGAGCGUCUGCUAAAUGACUUAAAUGUAAUGUAAAUGUGACGGCAACAUCGACCCCAAGUGUGUUCAUUGAACAAGGUGAGUAUAUAUUAAUGGUCAGUAAUUUGGGUUCGUUUUAAGGAGGCACAUACCUCCUCAGUCAAGCGUGUAUAUACACCAGACUGACUAACGCUGCGCUAUGAUUCCGUCUAGUGAACCAUUAAUGUAAGCUUGCUGCAAUAGACAACUAAGGUUGCUGUGAACCUGCUGAUGUGUUGUGUCUCAAUAAAAACCUUGA